UCCAAUCACCGUGCGGGAGGGGCGGGCCUCGCCGCCCGGAGCCUCGCCGCCCUCCAGAGUGACACCACUGUCAUCCAAUAAGCCCAGCAAGGUCCACAUCCUCGCCUGGCCACUCGCGCGGCGGGACGACCGGGACCAAGGAGGGAAGAGGAGUCUGGGAGCUUAGCGGCGUAGUGUCGUCGGCGUCACUAUUUCACCAAGAUGAGCUCUGGCCACCAGCGAGGCCUCAGGACCUUUGAAAAAGCCUGGCUGAGUGCCGCAGGAGGGAUCCGCCCCAAACUCACAUAGGGUCCUCCCAUUGGUGCGUGGUACUGUCAGUCGGCCGAGGUGUAGCCCGAAGCAUGCUGGAACUUGUAGGCGGCCUCCCCUUAGCUUCGGAGGCCUCCGGGAAGCAGGGUUUGCCUUGCCAGGUCUCUUUCUCGGUUUUCUGAGCAUCUUUUCUGUUCUGGAGUCCCUCAGGUCUGGCGUGCCGGGUACCAGAACCCCCGCAGCUGGCUAGCUUCUGGCAUUUUCCAGGGCAAAGGUAGCUCCGGCUCUCGUUCCAGGAACCUAACCGAAAAGUUUCGAAAGGCUGCCCCUUGGAGCUCAGCUGAGUUUCCGGGAAGGCGGGAGGGAAUGUGACCUAAGAGUUAGAUACUUCUCAACCAGAAUUCUACAGUAACGGAAGGAGGUGUGGGACGACGACAAGCAGAGCAAGUUUGGCGGCUGUUUUUACCAUCAAGGGGGGCUCCUGACUGGUCACAAUGGGACAGUGGAGGAUGUCAGUGAGGGACGAGUCCUCUGUAGGCCCGAAAACUAAUUAGGAAGAUGGGCCCGCCUGGUACCCUGAGCAGUUUUACUUCUUUGUGUCCUUGGAGAAUUUGGCCAGGAAUUUCAGAUUCAUUCAUUCAUGUGGAAGCUGCUUCCUACUCGUGGGGUCUGAGACCUUGAUCUCUGAAUUCCAAAAAUGGUAACAACAUGGCUCCUUAGCUACUACGGUUCUCAUUCUUCAGUAGCUUAAGCCUCUGCCUGUCUCACUGUUUUCCUUCGUUUGGAACCUUCCUUACUUGAUUUCGAUCCAUGGACAGCCGUUUCAGGGACCUCUUUAUUAGAGAUGCCAUACUGUAUUCAUACAGUCGGAGCCUACGCUUUAUGAAGUAUGGACUCCAGGUAGAAAAGGCCCCAAACUAUGGAAAUAUGAAAUUAAAAAAAAAAACCAUCUGGCUAUUUCUAAAUAUGUUGGGUUGGAGAUGUAGCUAAGUGUUUGCUUACUAUGUAUGAGGCUCUGGAUUCUAGCACAUGUGUGUGAACACAGUCAAACACACACACACACACACACACACACACCAAAAAAAAAAAAAAAAGUCUGGUUUAGUCCUUAUUGUGAGGGUCUUCAGAUCUGGUUCUAACUUUAUAAUAAGUAGAAUACCUGUGGAUUACUUGAAAGCCACGUUUAUAUAAAAGUCACGUGACUUCCCAAAGUAAGCCGCCUUAGAAAUGAAAGUGGUCCUUACCUAGACUUGCCAGCCUUUGGUCCUCUGCACUGCCCUGACCGAAUCCGCUGGCUUCACUCCACUAUGCUGAAGCAAAUUACAAACCGCUGGACUUGGCUUUGCUGUAUAUUCCUGCUCUGAACUCUGCCCUCCUUGGUGCUUAGCUAUACUGUGUUUCAUCUCUUAUUCAUGCCGCAUCACAUUCCCCUUAGUGGGUAUUCUAACCUGUCUCCGUGGAGAGCUGCUUUAUAAUUUAUAUGCACCAUCUCAUUUAAUCUUCUAACAGCGUAGGAAAGAGCAGCCUGGAAGAGGUCUAACAGUCGGCCUGAGCGAACAUCUAGGACAGAAACUGUCUUAGGAUGCCAUGUCUGAGACUCCGCUGCAGUCAACUUUACCCUUCCCUUUCUCAGCUUCUUACGAACCAAAUCUCUCACACACGGAGCACCUACCUGCCUUCCACGGAGGGAGAAAAUGGGACUACCUGGAGAACGUCCUCACUUUUACUUAAAAGUCUGUGCAUCUCUUCCUUUCUCAUGACACUGAUUGCUGUUUCUAUCCCAACUCCUCCUGCCUCUCCUUAUUUCGCUGACACUUUCCAGUCAGUCCUUUACAUGGUUUUUCUUCUGAGGACUGUGAUUGAGUCCUGAGGGGAAAUUAAUCCUGCUUUGAUCCAGUUCCCCGCAGCCUAAUUAACUCUGGUGGCUCUCACCGCCGUAUUUCUCACCACCAAUAAUUUAUUGGCAUGGAGAUCCUGAGUGACGAUAUUGGCGGACUUCUCGCAGUCCACAAUCAUUUCAGCGUUUGCCGUGCUGUGUAGUUGGUCUGCUUCCAUACCCUCCUUUGUCAGCCUGACUCCUCCAUUUUGUUCUGGAUCUUUCCCAUCUGUAGUUCCUCCGAAAGAGUCGAGUCCUAGACCUUUCAUUUCAGCACUAACUGACCUCUCCCCCAAUUUUUUUAAGUGUCUAUUAUAACCCCACUGCAAAAUAUGCUCCCAUCACGUAAGCCCCAUCUUAAAUGUCUCUGGGCUUCCCUUGUCAUUAAAUUCAGUGCUCUGAAUCUUCCUAUUUCAUUCUCCUGAGGGGAAGCUCGCUCUUCCAGCCUGAAAUCUUAUAGUCCUCUUGUCUUGGCCUCCUUUCUCAUGUCCCAGGUCCAGGCAGGCAUCGGUUUCUUUCCAUUCCCAUUGCCAACACCUUACUGCAUAGAGUUUUUAAAAUGGUACAAGACUGUAUCACUCUCACUUCCAGCACCACAUUAGUUUCUGAAUCAUUCUUGACUUCCUUUUUUAAAAUAGCUCAUUUGAUCUUCCAGGUUAGUUGUAAAACCAUGUUAAGCCAUGUUGAUUGUACCGAAGUUAGAAAGUCAGGGAGGAAAGAUGACCUAUCAGGAGAUCAGGAAGGCCAGGGAGAGGGAAGAUGACCUAUCGGGAGAUCAGGAAGGUUGGGUCUGAUCGACACUGAUUGAUUCAUCCAACAGCUACUGAGUGAACACAUGGAAAGGGAAACAUAGGUUCUGACGCCAUUACAUCUGUCUCUAUCAGUCAUUAUCCUUUUACCUCCUGAUUUCUCCUGAGACGUCUAGUCUAAAGUCCAGCCCCAUCCGCUUCCCUUCAUCCCCUCCUUCCUGGGGAACUUCCUAUGGGCUCACACUCACACUUCAGUUUCUCCUUCAGUCUGUGCUCCUCCCUUUUCUCUUCCUCCUAGCUGAGUCUGGAGAAGUGGCUUGGACAAAGUGUCCCCCAUAGGCUCGUGUCGGAACACUCAGUCCUAGUUGGUAGGUGUAGUUCGGGGAGGUUUGGCAACUUUUCAUGGGUAGAUCUUCACGGGAGGAAAUGGCCCACCAUGGUGGGGCGGGGCGCAUUGAGGUUUUAUAGAAACCUCCUUCCACCACGCUCUCUGCUUCUUGAUUUGCCCAGAUGUGAGCAAGCAGCCGCAUAUCCCUACCAGUGCUUAAGAGCCACAAGGCUGCCAUGUUUCCCCACCACGAUGAACUGUAUCUCAACCUGAGCAAAAGCAAAUGCUUCCCUCCUGUGUGCUUGCCACCAUGAGAAAAGUCCCAUAAAAAUAGUCUACGCUUGCUCGCUCCUCGAAUUCUUUUCCUUCAUUUUACCCCUAAUGCCAUGCAGUCCGGCAUUUGCAAAAGGCCCCUGCAGCAUGCCAAUGUGUGCUACUUUUCAGUUCGUACUUAACUGACUUUGUUGUCAAUUAAAACACAACUGUCUGAAACCCCCCCCCCCUUCCCUUGCUCCCUGGCCAUCCUCUCUUACCCCACGGUGCAGUUUCUUCUGCUCAUCUCUUCAAUGUUACUUGGGUUCUUAGCCCUCAUCUGCCUCCCUCCCCAAACCUCCUCCUUCCCCCUUGAUUAUUAUGGGGGUGAUACUUCAGGUGAUGUGUAGAAAAAAAAAGCAUCAGUCUCCUUGUUUCCUGUGGGCUGGGGGUUCUGCUAUUGGUACCACUAACCCCUCCACGAGACUUCUGAAUUCAGAGACUUGGUGGUGAAGGAGUGACGUGGACACGUGGCUGGAAGGAGAGCAAUCAGACCAGGAGGCGUCUGCUUCCCGAGAGGCUCAUAGCUGACAUCUGCUUCUCCAGGAGUCUUCCAUUCAUGGAGUCUUUGCUGUGUAUCUCUAUGUGUGCUACCCAUAUGUGCUGGAGAGAUUUUUGUCAGUGUGCCACAAGCUGGGACAUUUGGGAAGAGAGAACGUCGGCUGAGAACAUGCCUCCAUCAUACUGGUCUGUAGCCCUGGCUGGCCUGGAACUUGGUAUGUAGACCAGGCUGGCCUUGAACUCUCAGGAAUCGCUUGCCUCGCUGCUGGGAUUAAAGGUGUGCGCCUCCACCACCCGCUACAUCACAUUCCCUAUGCACUCACCUGAUGCCGCUUCUGCCGUCACUGUGCCUCUCUGCCUUUUUUUUCUUUAAGAUUUUAUUCUUAUUAUUUUAAAAUGAUGUGUGUACGUGGGUAUGUGCACAUGAGGCAUCAGAUCCCCUGGAGCUGGAGUUAGAGGUGGUUGUGAGCCACCCAGUGUAGGAGCUGGGAACUGAACUCAGAUCCUCUGGACUGCUGAGCAAACUUCGAAUCACAUGGGCUCCUGCUGUCUGCUGCAUUUCAAACACCGGCUACAGCGCCUGAAACACAACGUGUUCAGUAAGUGGAUACGUGGCUGAGACUCGUGGUUCAUAUCUAGAAGCUCAUAUCCGGACAAACCAUCGGGGAGAUGCAUUGCUAAUUUCAGGAGCCCUCCAGCUCUUGACUUUAGUAAACGAUGUGCUAACUUCCAAGAGGACAUUUAACCCUAAAACUUAGGUGGAAGCACAAGAGAUCUCAAACAACUAAGGCAACCCUGAUGAAUGCUGGAGGCGACAAGACCUGACUUCAAACUCAGCUACAGCCAAGGUAACAAAAGCAGCGUGAUAGUGCUGUAGACCCAUAUGACCUAGAUAGACACCCAUGCGCUUGCAGCCAUCUGAUUCUCGACAAAGGUACCAAACCAUGCACUGGAAAAAAGACCAUCUCCUGCAAAAGUGUUAGUAGUAAAGUUUAGGUAUCCAAACUAGAGCCUUAUCUCUCACCCUGUACAAAAAUCAACUCAAAUAGACCAAGGGUAAGACCCAAAACUUUGGAAAUUGUUCCAGAUCUAGAGGCAAGCAAUAGCUUUCUGAAUAGCUUCCAGUAGUUCAAGAAAUAAGAGCAAGAACUGACAAAGAUAUAUCAAAUUAAAAUGCUUCUCUACAGCAAAAGAACAAUCAAUGGAGAGAAGAGACAGCACAUAAAAUAAAAGUCUUUCCCAAGUAUUUAUCUAAUGGGAGUAAUGGCCAUAAUAUAUAAAGAACUAAAAAGGGGACAACAGACCAAUUAGCUCAAUCAAUGAAUGAGCAAUGGAAAUGAAUAGACACUUUUUAAAUGAAGAUACGCACAUGUGCCCAUGUUAUAUGCAAAUACACGAACAAUAUUUAACACCCCUAGCUAAAAUGCACACCAACUACUUUGAGAUUCUAUCUCACCUCAGUCAGAGUGGCUAAUCAUUAAGAAAACAAGGGGGCUGGAGAAAUGGCUCAGCAGUUAAGAGC
Peromyscus maniculatus bairdii (prairie deer mouse) is the source of this 5537-nucleotide non-coding RNA. Lineage: Eukaryota; Metazoa; Chordata; Mammalia; Rodentia; Cricetidae. The record is from RefSeq and is a predicted model, not a curated record.